ACUGAACGCUGGCGGCAUGCCUUACACACGCAAGUCGAACGGCAGCACGGAGCUUGCUCUGGUGGCGAGUGGCGAACGGGUGAGUAAUAUAUCGGAACGUACCCAAGAGUGGGGGAUAACGUAGCGAAAGUUACGCUAAUACCGCAUACGAUCUAAGGAUGAAAGCAGGGGAUCGCAAGACCUUGUGCCCCUGGAGCGGCCGAUAUCUGAUUAGCUAGUUGGUGAGGUAAAGGCUCACAAAGGGAUCGAUCAGUAGCUGGUCUGAGAGGACGACCAGCCACACUGGAACUGAGACACGGUCCAGACUCCUACGGGAGGCAGCAGUGGGGAAUUUUGGACAAUGGGGGCAACCCUGAUCCAGCAAUGCCGCGUGAGUGAAGAAGGCCUUCGGGUUGUAAAGCUCUUUUGUCAGGGAAGAAACGGUGAAGGCUAAUAUCCUUUGCUAAUGACGGUACCUGAAGAAUAAGCACCGGCUAACUACGUGCCAGCAGCCGCCGUAA
This 500-nucleotide ribosomal RNA is filed under the name uncultured bacterium. Its description in RNAcentral is "partial 16S ribosomal RNA". It matches the Rfam family "Bacterial small subunit ribosomal RNA", at positions 30 to 523 of the family's 1533-position model. The record is from RNAcentral.